RNAcentral lists this unclassified non-coding RNA (988 nucleotides) under Gigantopelta aegis. Its description in RNAcentral is "uncharacterized LOC121373980, transcript variant X2". The record is from RNAcentral. Lineage: Eukaryota; Metazoa; Mollusca; Gastropoda; Neomphalida; Peltospiridae.
GUCUGCAUUAUUCUGUUUCCGUUGAUGGCGCUGAAGUUGAUUCGACCAUGACUCAUCCCAUGAAUGUGACGAUUCUCAAGACUCUUGGUUUGCUGACUUUCACGGGAAUCAAUGGAAUCAAGAAUAUCAUACUGGAUACACACAGCCAGGAGACUGUUGUUGCUACACAGUCAGUGCACACCCUAGUUCUGGACAAACCUCUUGCUAUAACAAAUGAAGCUGAAUUCCGACCUGCUAUCCAGAAAGUUUGGUCGAGUGUGUUAGGCGAAGAAGUGACAGUGAUCCUAGGACCAAGUAAAGAAUACAUUAUGCAACAUGGGAAGCCUGUGUGGAAAUUGGAGUACUUCCUGCAAAUCAACGCUACAACACUGAAAACAAAUAUGAUUCCACGUUUAAAUAGCAGCCAGAAACUGUCUUUAGAUCAGAUGAUUGCUACCGUCAGUUCACCAAGAGGUGGGAAGUACGCUGUGAUUAAGGAACAAAGCCUCCGAGAGUAUGCCAUGCACUUCCCUCUUUAUUUCACUAGCAAGGUGGCACAAAAGGAUAUGGCUAAAAUAAAGGAGGAGAUCAGAAAAGCUUGGUCCAAUUCAACAGGGGAGAACGUAUCGAAUAUUGCCGUUGAUAUUACAUCUCAGAAAGAAAUGCUCGACCAACAUGGAAGGUCUGUUUGGAAAUUGGCCUAUUUUCUGAAGAAGGAUGGCAAACCUGUGGACUCCAGAGUCAUAGAAUUCAGAAAUGUGACGAAGGUUUUGAAACUAAAACUGUCUCAGCUGAACGAUAUACGGGACUGGCUUUCCACGUGUUAGUGUCGUUACCAGACGUGUACAGACAUGAUCAAAUGUUUCGUCUUUUUCUCUCUGGUAAAUUGGACCAGCAAGCUAAAAUAGAACUCAAGAAGAAACUACAAGAGAUGUUUCGAAAUAUAACUAAUGGAACCAAAGUUACUGUCAGUGUAAACAAACAAGAAGAAUACCGAAAUGACAAACGG